Zea mays is the source of this 669-nucleotide long non-coding RNA. RefSeq lists it as uncharacterized. The record is from RefSeq and is a predicted model, not a curated record. NCBI's taxonomy places the organism in Eukaryota, Viridiplantae, Streptophyta, Magnoliopsida, Poales, Poaceae. The transcript is spliced from 3 exons.
GCAAGUGGAGGGAGAUGGCGGCCAGGAAGGAGGAACUCCUGCUGCGGAGCCGGGGCCGAGUCGCGUGGACGAUCGUCGCGCUUUGCUGCGGCUCGCAUGCGUCCCACAUCCUGCACUCGCUCGGUAUCCAUGUUGGCCACGGUGAGUUACCACGAGACAUUCAUAGCGUGAUCUGAUUUUCUGGAAUAACAGAGUGAUGUUUAAUAUUGGCGUGAAGGGCCCCUCUGAUCAGUCUACCUAUGGUUCAGGAACGUUUUUUGGAUCUGUUGCAUAAUCCUUAUGUGAAAUGUGGCAUUGCUACAACUGCUUUGUUUGGGCUUGGAAGAGGGAUUAACAGACUUGUCCUGAAGGGCAUCGAGCAAACUGGCUCAUCAGUUAUGUAAUGAAGUGAUGCAAGUCACGGAGGCUGACAUUGAAGAAUUUGAAGCUAAAUAUAGAGGGUCAGAUUCUGAGAAAACGGACUUGAAGGAACUCUACACAAAAUAUAAGGGCAACAUGAACAUGAAUAAUUAUCUCUUAUAUCAUAUUGUAAAAUCUGAAACAGUUCUCAUGUAGAUGGUUAGCUUGCAUUUUACGCUACAAUUACCUCAGAUCACUUCUUGUUGUAUCUUACACCAAUUUACGAAAUUUCUUGAUGUGUUUUAUGACAACCUCACGCGUUGAGAGAUA